AAGGAAUACAAGCUGACAAAAUCACAAUCAUCAUGUUUAAUAAUUUUUUUUUUCUAAAAAUAUCCCUUAAGACAUCGAAAGAAAUACUAAAUUCCUUACCGAAAUCUUAAUGUUUCUCCUUCACCGUUCCUCUUUUCUUUUCCUUUUUCUCUCACUAGAUUACUCUCUCUCCUUAUCUCUCUAAGUCUAGAAAAAUGGAAGAAUGGAAGUGUGCGAAGAAUGAGAUGGUAAGACCUAUUUAUAGAAUUUUAGAACUAUCAGAUUCACGCCAAGUGGCAAAAUUCGAUGAAGAGGGAGGAGAAAUAGAUGUUUGCCAUAAAAAACAAGAGAGGAGGGCCUAUUCCACCAACGACAAUUAUACACCACCUGAGGCGACAAUGAUGCACUGGCCGAGGUAGUAGUGCCCCAGCCGGCCCGCUACUGUCUAGCUUGUAGCGCACAAGCAUCUUGCCGCGCACACAGGAGUUAACAUGUGC
Molecule: long non-coding RNA, 476 nt
Filed under: Carica papaya (papaya)
Lineage: Eukaryota; Viridiplantae; Streptophyta; Magnoliopsida; Brassicales; Caricaceae
Description: long non-coding RNA (CPAP_LNC009662)
Source: RNAcentral